AAACUAUGUAUUUAAGCUAAUGUUCAGUGUCUAUAGCGGUUUACUGACUUUAACGUUAAGUGAUUCUGAAGGAGAAAAAAGCAGAUACUUUAUUUUGAUGCCUGUAGGAGUCACAAUUCAAAUCUAGGAGAAUAAUUUUUAACUUUUUGGCAGCUCAAGUUGAUCAUUAUCUAACUUUAGGUAAUGGCUCAUAGUAUUGAUUAUUUUU
Pelobates cultripes (western spadefoot toad) is the source of this 208-nucleotide non-coding RNA. The record is from the annotation of a GenBank genome assembly. Lineage: Eukaryota; Metazoa; Chordata; Amphibia; Anura; Pelobatidae.